Molecule: small RNA, 28 nt
Filed under: Bombyx mori (domestic silkworm)
Lineage: Eukaryota; Metazoa; Arthropoda; Insecta; Lepidoptera; Bombycidae
Description: ovarian small RNA-10808
Source: RNAcentral
AAUCGUUUAAGCAUGUAGUGAUAAAGGC